UCUGUCGAGCCGAGUGCCCGCGACAGUAUUGUGAACUAGUGCUAUAUUUAUUAUUACCUACUUAUUGUUUCUGUGAAUAGGAAGAGGAAAACACUGAAGUCUGAGUAUCAUCAGUACUUAUUUAACCUUGUAAGCCAUCUUCCAUACCAAGAAUGGGCUACGCCACCGAUAUUGAUGUUCCAGAAGAAAGACAGGAGCCAUCUGAUGCGGAAAUUGUUAAGGAACUAUCAGACAUACAAGGCUUGCCUGAAAAAUCCCUGAACGGUACCCAAAUAAGCCAUUAUCCGUGCCGCCAGACACGCCCGAAGGCGAUGAACAACUCAGCGAGUGACUCACCUGUACGGUGUACCUGACCUGUAAUGACAGGACAAAAGAACUUCCUCCCGUGCAACUUACCCAAGCAUCAUCGAUUAAGUCAUUACGUAUUAGAAUUACUUAUAGUGUCUACCAGUGGCGAGGGGCCAAAUUAUCCCAAACGGAACCCGACACAACAUAAUAUUGGUACUUAUACGCAUAAACGCUGUUUGCAAAUCGUUGUAAUAAUUAGACUUUACAUACAUUACGAAAGGGAAGCAGGAUUCGGGUUUUAGGGACCCUUUGCCACUGGUGUGUACUAUUGCUAUUGUUUCUGACAAAGUCACGGAAGAUAUAUCACCUACAGUUGCUAAAGAAGAACCGGUUCUAACAGAAAAAUCUUCUGAAAAUCCAUCUCCAACAGAAGCCACAUCAGUAAGCUCAGCAGCUAAAGAACCUUCACCGGAAGUUGUAGAUGAACAUCCUUCUUCAACAUCAUCGGCACUUCAAGAACCUUCAACGACUAUUGCAGUUUCAGUUAUUACUGUUGAAGAUUCAGUUUCUACGGCUGUGCCUCUAAAGACAACUCCUGAA
Molecule: long non-coding RNA, 888 nt
Organism: Manduca sexta (tobacco hornworm)
Lineage: Eukaryota; Metazoa; Arthropoda; Insecta; Lepidoptera; Sphingidae
Exons: 4
Source: RefSeq, a predicted model, not a curated record